CAUAUCAUUUAAUUUUAACUCUUUUAAUUGAGAUGUGAAAUUUUCUACUAACGUCAGCAGUAGCCCAUUUGUUAUUGUUAGAUAAUUUUUUAUGUUGGCUAAAUCAGAACUUAUUGCUAGGGAAUAAUCCAAAGGGCGACCGUCACUCAAUUCUGUUUGAGAGUAUUUUGGAGUAAGUAUCUGGUUUUGAUGGGUUGAUGUAAUUUCUUCCGUGGGCAGCUGUUCCUUAGUAAUAGAGGUAUUUCCCUCCUGAAGUUCCUCGGCUAAAGCUAGUUCUUGCGCUAGGCUGCAUGGGGAGUUAAUAUUUCCAGUAUCUUGGUAUAUCUCUUUAAAAUUAGAUGUCCAAUCAAGAACAGUAAGAGAGGGGGGUAUUACUUCAUCAAGAAUUAACUCUUUUUGUGGACUCUUACCCUCCUCCAUCUUAGGAAAGUAAUUUGUGAUUUUGCUUUGUCUUUUACCAGGGCCCGAGGGGCUGAUUGCCGAGUCAGGCAGUAUACCCAACUCCUUGUAUUUUCUCCUAGUAAAAACCAUGGUAAAAGUGGUCUCGAUAUAGAGAGAGGGCAGUUUACCCCAGGUGCGACUGCCUUAGAUUGGGGGGCAAGUGGGGGUAU
Non-coding RNA from Podarcis lilfordi (Lilford's wall lizard), 611 nucleotides. The record is from the annotation of a GenBank genome assembly. Lineage: Eukaryota; Metazoa; Chordata; Lepidosauria; Squamata; Lacertidae.